AACGAACGCUGGCGGCAGGCUUAACACAUGCAAGUCGAACGCACCGCAAGGUGAGUGGCAGACGGGUGAGUAACACGUGGGGAUCUGCCCAAUGGUACGGAAUAGCUCCGGGAAACUGGAAUUAAUACCGUAUGUGCCCUUCGGGGGAAAGAUUUAUCGCCAUUGGAUGAACCCGCGUCGGAUUAGCUAGUUGGUGAGGUAAGGGCUCACCAAGGCGACGAUCCGUAGCUGGUCUGAGGGGAUGAUCAGCCACACUGGGACUGAGACACGGCCCAGAUUCCUACGGGAGGCAGCAGUGGGGAAUAUUGGACAAUGGGCGCAAGCCUGAUCCAGCCAUGCCGCGUGAGUGAUGAAGGCCUUAGGGUUGUAAAGCUCUUUCGCCGACGAAGAUAAUGACGGUAGUCGGAGAAGAAGCCCCGGCUAACUUCGUGCCAGCCGCCGCCGUAA
RNAcentral lists this ribosomal RNA (447 nucleotides) under uncultured bacterium. Its description in RNAcentral is "partial 16S ribosomal RNA". It matches the Rfam family "Bacterial small subunit ribosomal RNA", at positions 29 to 523 of the family's 1533-position model. The record is from RNAcentral.